Molecule: long non-coding RNA, 1056 nt
Filed under: Coturnix japonica (Japanese quail)
Lineage: Eukaryota; Metazoa; Chordata; Aves; Galliformes; Phasianidae
Description: lncRNA (ENSCJPG00005015774.1)
Source: RNAcentral
AGUAGGGGCCUUCUAGAGUCCACCUGAGGAGAUGUUGGCUCUCCUCCCAGGGUGAAAGUAAAAUCAACCGCUUUAUUUCCCGUUAUGGGAAUAACUAAAGAGAGACGUGGUGGCCCUUGGGGGCCUGGCUUUUUCUUUCCUGAGGGAAAAGUGCCUCGGUAACAGAGAAGCUGUGAUGAGGGAAGGCUGUGGGUGCUCAACUGGGAGCCCUGAGGGAACCCCAUGGCUGGAGCCAGGCAGCGCCGGUGGCUUUGUGAGGCCUGCUAGUAUGUGCUAGUCUGUGGUCAAAUGCAAUAUAUUAUUAGAUUGUAAUGAUCUUGUGAGGGAGGAUGGAAUGUGACAGCACCUCUCUACAGGCCAGGGCUGUGAGCUGUGGUCCUUGUUAACUGCUACCAGUGGGAUAGGUAAGAGUAGCCUUGUGGGCUCUUAGUCCCAUUCCCAGGUGGGACUCUUGGCUAGGGGAAGGGAGUGCUAAAGCUACUGGUGGCCUCAUGUUUUUCUACCUUUCUUUUCAGCUCUGCUUAUUCACUGCUCAGCACAGCCUUACUGAAGAAUAUGACUGAGGGAUGUUGAUGUGGUUGAGGUGUGGGCUAAGCUAAGGCCCUACCCAGCAUUUUCUGUGGAUCCCUCUUUUGGUGGGCCCUGAAGAAAAGAGGCUAUAAGGAGCCCACUAUCACCUGUUUUUCUCCUGGAAAUUAUGGAGUGACCCAUCAGCUGGCACUGAUGAGCUGCAGGUGCUGGAGGCUAGCAGAGCAGGGAAGCCUGCCUGUAAUAGGAGCCUGUGAUUGGGGUGGAGAGGAGGUGUGAAGAUGGUGUGUUGUGCAUCAACUGGAGCAGCACAAACAGAUAGGCAAUAUAAAUAAUCCUGCCAGAUAACCUACUUGCUGCCAAUGCCCAAGUACAUCCAGUGCUGCGACUUCUUGGACAAAACAUAACUUUCUGCUGACUAAUGUCUCUGCUUUGCCCCAACCUGCUGAAUGCCCAGGCAGAGAAUUUGUGCAGGAGGAACAACAGCUGGUAUGGCUUUGACUGGGGAUGCACUGAAGUGCUUUUGUU